ACGAACGCUGGCGGCGCGCCUAACACAUGCAAGUCGAACGGAGCUGUUUUCUCUGAAGUUUUCGGAUGGAAGAGAGUUCAGCUUAGUGGCGAACGGGUGAGUAACACGUGAGCAACCUGCCUUUCAGUGGGGGACAACAUUUGGAAACGAAUGCUAAUACCGCAUAAGACCACAGUGUCGCAUGGCACAGGGGUCAAAGGAUUUAUCCGCUGAAAGAUGGGCUCGCGUCCGAUUAGCUAGAUGGUGAGGUAACGGCCCACCAUGGCGACGAUCGGUAGCCGGACUGAGAGGUUGAACGGCCACAUUGGGACUGAGACACGGCCCAGACUCCUACGGGAGGCAGCAGUGGGGAAUAUUGCACAAUGGGGGAAACCCUGAUGCAGCGACGCCGCGUGGAGGAAGAAGGUCUUCGGAUUGUAAACUCCUGUCCCAGGGGACGAUAAUGACGGUACCCUGGGAGGAAGCACCGGCUAACUACGUGCCAGCAGCCGCGGUAAAACGUAGGGUGCAAGCGUUGUCCGGAAUUACUGGGUGUAAAGGGAGCGCAGGCGGAUUGGCAAGUUGGGAGUGAAAUCUAUGGGCUCAACCCAUAAAUUGCUUUCAAAACUGUCAGUCUUGAGUGGUGUAGAGGUAGGCGGAAUUCCCGGUGUAGCGGUGGAAUGCGUAGAUAUCGGGAGGAACACCAGUGGCGAAGGCGGCCUACUGGGCACUAACUGACGCUGAGGCUCGAAAGCAUGGGUAGCAAACAGGAUUAGAUACCCUGGUAGUCCAUGCCGUAAACGAUGAUUACUAGGUGUGGGAGGAUUGACCCCUUCCGUGCCGCAGUUAACACAAUAAGUAAUCCACCUGGGGAGUACGACCGCAAGGUUGAAACUCAAAGGAAUUGACGGGGGCCCGCACAAGCAGUGGAGUAUGUGGUUUAAUUCGAAGCAACGCGAAGAACCUUACCAGGUCUUGACAUCGGAUGCAUACCUAAGAGAUUAGGGAAGUCCUUCGGGACAUCCAGACAGGUGGUGCAUGGUUGUCGUCAGCUCGUGUCGUGAGAUGUUGGGUUAAGUCCCGCAACGAGCGCAACCCUCGACCUUAGUUGCCAGCAUUCAGUUGGGCACUCUAAGGUGACUGCCGGCUAAAAGUCGGAGGAAGGUGGGGAUGACGUCAAAUCAUCAUGCCCCUUAUGACCUGGGCUACACACGUGCUACAAUGGGCGGUACAAAGGGUCGCGAACCCGCGAGGGGGAGCCAAUCCCAAAAAGCCGCUCUCAGUUCGGAUUGCAGGCUGCAACUCGCCUGCAUGAAGCCGGAAUCGCUAGUAAUCGCGGAUCAGCAUGCCGCGGUGAAUACGUUCCCGGGCCUUGUACACACCGCCCGUCACACCACGAGAGUUUGCAACACCCGAAGUCGGUGAGGUAACCCUUACGGGAGCCAGCCGCCGAAGGUGGGGCAAAUGAUUGGGGUG
RNAcentral lists this ribosomal RNA (1455 nucleotides) under uncultured organism. RNAcentral describes it as "SSU rRNA". It matches the Rfam family "Bacterial small subunit ribosomal RNA". The record is from RNAcentral.